GUACACGCUGUGACUAGCAUAUCAAUAAGCGGAGGAAAAGAAACUAACAAGGAUUCCCCUAGUAACGGCGAGUGAAGCGGGAAGAGCUCAAAUUUGAAAUCUUAAAGGGUUUCCCUUUACGAAUUGUAGUUUAAAGAAGUGUUUUCUGUUGAGGUUUUGGUAAAAGUUCUUUGGAAUAGGACAUCAUAGAGGGUGAGAAUCCCGUAUUUGACCUUUACUUUCAACUUUGUGAUACACUUUCAAAGAGUCGGAUUGUUUGGGAAUGCAGUCCAAAAUGGGUGGUAAAUUUCAUCUAAAGCUAAAUAUUGGCGAGAGACCGAUAGCGAACAAGUACCGUGAGGGAAAGAUGAAAAGAACUUUGAAAAGAGAGUUAAACAGUACGUGAAAUUGUCAAAAGGGAAGCGUUUGACACCAGUGUUGUUUUUCUGAAAAUCAAUUAAAGAACUGUUUAUGCUAAGCUGUUUAGACUUUAUCAGCUAUCUGUUUAGUUUUGAGCUUUUCUUUAAUGCACUCUUCAGUUAACAAGUCAACAUCAAUUUCUUUUGCUGUAAAAAAGCUUGAGGAAGGUGGCUUGAGAUUCGUCUUAAGUGUUUAUAGCCUCUUGCCUAUGCAGUCGGAGAGAUUGAGGUCUGCAGCGUAGAUCCUUCGGGGCUAAAUGCAUUUGUGCUAAGUUAUAGCAUUUUAUAGACAACUUGUUGACUAUGAUUUGUCUUGUAGCUUACUCGCUUAUGUUAUUUUACCUACGCUUAGGAUGUUGACGCGCGUGUGUGCGUG
RNAcentral lists this ribosomal RNA (774 nucleotides) under uncultured Neocallimastigales. RNAcentral describes it as "partial large subunit ribosomal RNA". It matches the Rfam family "Eukaryotic large subunit ribosomal RNA", at positions 22 to 639 of the family's 3401-position model. The record is from RNAcentral. Lineage: Eukaryota; Fungi; Neocallimastigomycota; Neocallimastigomycetes; Neocallimastigales.